This 491-nucleotide ribosomal RNA is filed under the name uncultured bacterium. Its description in RNAcentral is "partial 16S ribosomal RNA". It matches the Rfam family "Bacterial small subunit ribosomal RNA", at positions 29 to 507 of the family's 1533-position model. The record is from RNAcentral.
AGUGAACGCUGGCGGUAGGCCUGACACAUGCAAGUCGAACGGCAGCACAGUAAGAGCUUGCUCUUACGGGUGGCGAGUGGCGGACGGGUGAGGAAUACAUCGGAAUCUACUUUUUCGUGGGGAUAACGUAGGGAAACUUACGCUAAUACCGCAUACGACCUACGGGUGAAAGCAGGGGAUCUUCGGACCUUGCGCGAUUGAAUGAGCCGAUGUCGGAUUAGCUAGUUGGCGGGGUAAAGGCCCACCAAGGCGACGAUCCGUAGCUGGUCUGAGAGGAUGAUCAGCCACACUGGAACUGAGACACGGUCCAGACUCCUACGGGAGGCAGCAGUGGGGAAUAUUGGACAAUGGGCGCAAGCCUGAUCCAGCCAUACCGCGUGGGUGAAGAAGGCCUUCGGGUUGUAAAGCCCUUUUGUUGGGAAAGAAAAGCAGCAGGUUAAUACCCCGCUGUUCUGACGGUACCCAAAGAAUAAGCACCGGCUAACUUCGUG